RNAcentral lists this long non-coding RNA (759 nucleotides) under Mus musculus (house mouse). Its description in RNAcentral is "predicted gene, 56975". Lineage: Eukaryota; Metazoa; Chordata; Mammalia; Rodentia; Muridae. The record is from RNAcentral.
GUACAAGCCGCUCUUAAAGUGGCACCAGCAACUCCUCAGCUUUCUCCGGUCAGGAAGCCAGUGGCUACUCCCGCUACAGAACCACUGCGCCCAUGAGAAUUGGACUCGGCAGGUAGCAAAGUGCUCCUCUUUUGAAAUUAACAGCUGGAGGAAGUAAGGAAAUUUUUGUCUGUUUUAAAUGUAUAAUGUAUGUGGUCACAUCGUGUUUGUUUCUGCCUGCUCUGAAAUGUAGGAGACUACUAUGUUCUGUAUCUUGGUUGUAGUUAUUGGGUAUGGUUGAAAAUCUGUAACAUUUGUAACAAAAAGUUAACUGAAAACUCAUAACUCAGGGUUGGAGCCGUUCUGGGCAGCAACACAUGGCAUGAGCUCAACCAGGGGGACAGGUAUUCAAAGACACUUUUAAAUUGGGACAGGAUUUUUAAAUAAUUUCUACCCUGUCUUAAAAACUAGUUUAAAAAAAAAUAAGUAAGAGGUAAUUAAGUUGCACCUUCAUAUAUUCAUAUACGAUAACUUUUCUUCUGGGCAGCUAAACUUUAUAACAUAAAAGGAAGCCACUUGAUAUUGAUUUUGGAAACAAUAAAUAGCUUAUAUUGUUAAAACUUGUUUUUGCCUUGUAAAAAUUAUGGUUAUACUCUCUGUCUUCACUCUUAAUUAAAGGUGCUUUAUUUUGAUAUUGCAAAAAACAAGACAGUUGAGAGAUUUUAAGCUUCUUUAAAGAAAGCUUUACAGAAAAUUAAAAAAAAACCUGAAAUUUAAAAA